AAAAAACUGGUGAAAUGUACCAAUGUCAGUUUAGUUUUGACAAAUCAUGAUAAGAUGUUAAUAAAAGAGGAAACUGGCCUGGGGCAGUGGCUCACACUUGCAAUCCUGGCAUUUUGGGAGGCCAAGGUGGGUGGAUCACUUAAGCUCAAGAGUUGGAGACCAACCUGGGCAACAUGGCGAAAUCCCAUCUCUAUAAAAAGAUUCAAAAAAAUUAGCCCGGGAUGGUGGUGAGCACCUGUAGUCCCAGUUACUCAGGAGGCUGAGGUGGGAGGAUCACUUGAGCCUAGGAGGUUGAGGUUGCAGUGAGCUAUGAUUGCACCACUGUACUCCAGCCUGGGUGACAGAGGGAGAUCCUGUACCAAAUUGAAAAAAAAAAAGGGGGAAACCAAGUGAGGGGUAUAAGGAGACCCUCUGUCCUAUCACUGAAAGUUUUCUGUAAAUCUAAAAUCACUCUACAAUAAAAUAUUUAUUCUCAAAAAUAUUGUGUAUAUACAUAUUUUUUGUUUUUGUAUCUCAUUUGGACAGAUUCUUGAUGAAUUCACCACUUCCCAGCCAUUGGAAUAAGAAAUGCCUCUGUAGCGCGGGUGCCCACUCAGACCUCUGCCUUUAUUUUUGUGGACAAAGAAAAAUUUACAGCACAUUUUUAAUCAAGGCAUACAUGGUAGCAAACCAAGGUUUCUAGGAAAACCAUGAAAAGUCACCUCGGCUGGAAGGCUGGAGCGUGUCACAACAAUAACACAGCGGGAACCUGGAUGAGAGGAGUGGAGAGUUAAUUUGUGGAGGGGAAUGAAUAGUCUGCUUGAUGGAAGAACAACUUUCUGCCCUGUCUGAAGAUGUGACAAAUGGCCAUGAGGAGAUUGCGCCAGGAUGGCUCCCCAAGGGACUCAAGGGGGAAAACAAAACAGCAUGGAAUGGUGGCACAAUUGAAGAGUUUAGCAUUAUCCUGAGUAGAAGUGAAGCCACUUGUCCAUUUGGGAACUUUGGGAACUGUCAUUUUAUUGUCUUCCUACUUCCUGCUGAUGGAUUAUGGAUAUGAUGCCUGGAGUUCAGCAGCCGUCUUGCGCUGUGAGGAUGGUAGACGACAAGAUCGAAGGAUCCUGUGUACUUUUCUGAAGCUGCACUACCAGCCCUGCACUGUCCACCUCUAGGUUUCAUUUAUGUGAGUUAAGCUACUAUUAUUUUGGAUUUGAUAUCACUCUCAGCUGAACAGAAUCCUACCUAAGACAAGGAUAGAAGAAUUAUAAUUUUUACAAAGGGCUUCUUUAAGGUCGUGCUUGGAGUAAAUUCUAUAGUUCAAGGUAUUGGUAAGGGUGUGUUUGUGACAAGAUUUUGGGUAAAGCAAUCUAGUGUGAGCAUUAAGAGUGUGGGCUUGGAAGCAGAUUGGCUUUCAGUUGCUGUAGGUCCUUGGAGAAGCUCCUUAAGCUUUUUAAACUUUAGUCUUCCUGUCUAUGAAAUGGGAGCUAUAAAUAGUUCCCGGUACCUGCUGCUUCUCUUCUCAGGAGUUAUUGAAAUUCCACAGAGCUAAUACUCUAAGGCCCUUAGAGUAUACAGAUACCUUCUCUAAGUCAGGUUCCUGUACAAAGAAAUUUCACUUCAGCAAAAUUUCUUGGGCAGUUUUUUUUUUUUUUCCUUAAGACAGUCUCACAUCAUCACCCAAGCUGGAGUACAGUGGCGCAAUCUCCGCUCUCUGAAACUUCCGCCUCCCUGGUUCAAGCAAUUCUUCUACCUCAGCCUCCCAAGCAGCUGGGAUUACAGGCGCCCACUACCACACCCAGCUAAUUUUUGUAUUUUAAGUAAAGACAGGGUUUUACCAUGUUGGCCAGGCUGGUCUCCAACUCCUGACCUCAAAUGAUUUAUCUACCUCGGCCUCCCAAAGUGCUGGGAUUACAGGCGUGAACCACUGCGCCCAACCCUUGUGUAGUUUUUCCUUUCUUUUUAGAAAUCAACAAAAUCAAGUAACCCUAGAAAUAUAACUAUAUAACUAGUUUCAUAUAUAUAUAUAUAUAUAUAUAUCCUUCUUUCCUUCUUUCCUUCUUUCCUUCUUCCUUUCUUCCUUUCUUCCUUUUUUGAGACAGGGUCUCACUCUGUUGCCCAGGUUGGAGUUCAGUGGCAUGAUCUCAGCUGACAGCAACCUCCACCUCCCAGGCUCAAGUGUUUCUCCUGCCUCAGCUUCCCAAGUAGCUGGAAUUAGAGGUGCGUGCCACUACUGUCCGGCUAAUUUUUGUAUUUUUAGUAGAGACGGGGCUUCACCAUGUUUGCCAGGCUGGUCUCAAACUCCUGACUUCAAAUAAUCCAGCCACCUCAGCCUCCCAAAGUGCUGGGAUUACAGGCAUGAGCCACCAUGCCCGGCCUGAAUCCCUGUUUUCAAUUCUUUUGAUCACACACCCUUAAUGGAGUUUCUGGGUCAAAUAGUAGUUCUAUUUUUUGAGGAACCACUGUACUGUUUCCGUAGUGGUUGCACCAUUUGACAUUCCCACCAACAGUGCACAGGGGUUCCUAUGUCUCCAUAUUCUCAUCAACACUUGUUAUUUUCUGCUUUUUUGAUAGCAACUAUCCUAAUGGGUAUGAAGUGGUGUUUUAUUGUGGUUUUGAUUUGUAGUUCCUCAAUGAUUAGUGAUGUUGAGCACGUCUUCAUGUGCUUUUUGGCCAUUUAUAUAUCUUCUUUGGGGAAAUGUCUAUUUGAAUCCCUUACCCAUUUUUGAAUUGCAUGUGUGUGUGUGUGUUGUUGUUGCUGUUGAGCUGUAGGAGUACUUUAUAUAUUCUAGGUAUUAACCCCUUGUCAGAUAUAUGAUUUGCAAAUAUUUUCUUCCAUUCUGCUGGUUUCCUUCUCACUCUGUUGAUUGUGUCCUUCGAUUCACAGAAUUUUUAAAACUUAAUGUAGUCCAAUUUAUCAAUUUUUGCUAUUGUAGCCUGUACUUUUGGUGUCAUAUCUAAGAAGUCAUUGCCAAAGCCAAU
RNAcentral lists this long non-coding RNA (2955 nucleotides) under Macaca mulatta (Rhesus monkey). Its description in RNAcentral is "lncRNA (ENSMMUG00000053944.1)". The record is from RNAcentral. Lineage: Eukaryota; Metazoa; Chordata; Mammalia; Primates; Cercopithecidae.